AGGGAAGAGUUGGGACUCCGCGCAGACCCCUGGACCACCAAACAGCGCCGGCCCGCGGUCAGAAACACUCAGCUUGCUCCGGGAUCCCUAGUGCCUGCCCUCCCCGCCCCUUCAACCGGACCUUCCAGGAUUCAGCAUCAGGCGGGCGCCGCCUCCGGCUUCCCUCAGUGCGCAAUUUCGCGCAUCCAUCCGGUCCCCCAGCAGCAGCUUAGCCAUACCCACCCUGAGUGCUCCCAGCUGCGCCAGCAGCGGCCCCGCCCCCGGCUCGGUACCAUCGAGACGCCAGGUGCGGGCCAGAGCGUCACCAGUCUCAACGUCCGCCCAGAGGACGCCGGGAAACCGACCUCACUCGGAGCUGCGAGAAGCGAUGUACUACGUUUGAGCAGUGCCACUCUCCAUACAUAUGGUGCUAUCAUCUGGAUCAAGACUGGGCCACCUGACUUCUGAGAUGUCAAUGAAGAUGCACUGCAUUAAGAAAAGAAAGGACACGGGUGUGCUGAAACAGGAGGUGACUUUUCAAAUAAAAAUUCAGAGCCACAGGGAGAAAGUUGCAAUUUGGAACCAUCAACAUAUUGGACCUGCACUGAAUCAUCUUCAUAAAGUACCAUCUGCACUUCCGCUGCCAUUCCAACACGAUAAGAAGUCCUUUCAAGGUGAGACUGAAGGAAAUGAAACCACAAUAGCAUAGACAGUUCUCUUAAUGUACAAAAGUUCUACCAAAGUAAAUAGACACAUUUUCUAAGAAUAUAAGAAAAACACACUGCCACUGCAUUUACUUUUGCUGGAAGGAAAGUGAUUUUUCUACAAAUACUUCAAUGAUAUAAAAUUAAUAUCAUUAACAAAAUGCCUUGAUUAGCUCCUAGGAAUUCACUCUUAACAUAGAACAUUUGCGAAGAUAGCUCACAAAUGUUAAAAUUGUCUUUAUCAUUUUUUGUAGAUUUACUUUUCCUGAGAUUUAAUUGUUAUAAAUUAUAUGCUCAGGAUAUCAUUUUAAAUAACAAGCAAAUUACACUAUUGGGAUAAGAAUGCAGCAAAUCCCUACUUGUUAACGCAAUCCAUAUGAGUGAUAUGUUUUUCCCAUCCUUUCAACCUCAGUCUGUUGGGUCUUGUUUUUUAAUCCAAUCUGCCAGUCUAUGUCUUUUGACUGAUGCA
Sciurus carolinensis (gray squirrel) is the source of this 1152-nucleotide long non-coding RNA. RefSeq lists it as uncharacterized. The transcript is spliced from 3 exons. The record is from RefSeq and is a predicted model, not a curated record. NCBI's taxonomy places the organism in Eukaryota, Metazoa, Chordata, Mammalia, Rodentia, Sciuridae.